ACGAACGCUGGCGGCAUGCCUAACCCCUGCAAGUCGCACGAGACCUUCGGGUCUAGUGGCGCACGGGUGCGUAACGCGUGGGAACCUGCCCUUAGGUUCGGAAUAACUCCCCGAAAGGGGUGCUAAUACCGGAUAAUGUCUUCGGACCAAAGAUUUAUCGCCUUUGGAUGGGCCCGCGUUGGAUUAGCUAGUUGGUAGGGUAAAAGCCUACCAAGGCGACGAUCCAUAGCUGGUCUGAGAGGAUGAUCAGCCACACUGGGACUGAGACACGGCCCAGACUCCUACGGGAGGCAGCAGUGGGGAAUAUUGGACAAUGGGCGAAAGCCUGAUCCAGCAAUGCCGCGUGAGUGAUGAAGGCCUUAGGGUUGUAAAGCUCUUUUACCCGGGAUGAUAAUGACAGUACCGGGAGAAUAAGCUCCGGCUAACUCCGUG
Molecule: ribosomal RNA, 432 nt
Filed under: uncultured bacterium
Lineage: Bacteria
Description: partial 16S ribosomal RNA
Rfam family: Bacterial small subunit ribosomal RNA
Source: RNAcentral